Molecule: ribosomal RNA, 484 nt
Filed under: uncultured bacterium
Lineage: Bacteria
Description: partial 16S ribosomal RNA
Rfam family: Bacterial small subunit ribosomal RNA
Source: RNAcentral
ACUCAAAUGAAUUGACGGGGACUUGCACAAGCGGUGGAUCAUGCGGCUCAAUUCGAUGACAAACGAAGAACCUCACCAGGGUUUGAAACCCAGACGACCGCCUAGGAAACUAGGUUUUCGCAAGACGGCUGGGCAGGUGAUGCAUGGUCGUCGUCAGUUCGUGGCUUGAGUUGUUCCCUUCAGUGGGGUAACGAACGCAACCCCCGUUGCCUGUUUUAUUAGUCAGGCGAGACUGCUCCCUCACGGGAGAGGAAGGUGGGGAUGACGCCAGAUCAGCAUGUCCCUCUGAUAUCCUGGGCUGCACGCAUGAUACAAUGCACUCGACAACGAGACGCAAUGGGGUAACCCGGAGCAAAUCUUUAUAAACGAGUGCUCAGUUCGGAUUGAGGGCUGCAACUCGCCCUCAUGAAGCCGGAAUCGCUAGUAAUCGCGGGUCAGCUAUACCGCGGUGAAUACGUUCUCAAGUCUUGUACACACCGCCCGU